Long non-coding RNA from Salvelinus sp. IW2-2015, 1769 nucleotides. RefSeq lists it as uncharacterized. NCBI's taxonomy places the organism in Eukaryota, Metazoa, Chordata, Actinopteri, Salmoniformes, Salmonidae. The record is from RefSeq and is a predicted model, not a curated record.
CUUUGUUGUGCCUGUGUUGUAUGUAGUGUAGUAACAUCCCACCUCCUCUUCCCCCCUCCACACCCCUAGAACGUUCCAAUGGGGUCCCCUUCUUUUAUGGGGUCUAACCAAGGAUUCAGCAUGGGCGGAGCGGUCGGGGCUGGAGCUCCCAUGAUGCCCAUGGUUAGGCCAGGCUUUGGAGCCCCUGCAACCCCAGGAGCACCGAUGGGAUCUCCAGGGAUGGCCGGGAGUCCGAGGAGGCCUCCUCCUCCCAAGAAUGCCUUGGAUGACCUCAACAUCAAGGACUUCAUGUAAACCCCUCUAACCCUCCUAGAGGUUGUCGUUGUGUCUGGAGCUCUAUCGAUGUGGAUGUGUGCACUCCCCACCUUCCUGUCACGCCCAAGUCCCUUCAGCCAAUCAGCCAUCAGCAUUACGACCCCUGCCCUCUGACUUCCCCGUAACCCCGCCCUCCCUCUCUGUCUGAUGUUUUAGCACAAACCGUGGAUGUGAAUCAUAAAUACAGAAAACAAAAAUGUGUAUGUGUGUGUGAGUGUACUUCAAUGUUAUCCUUUACUUAAAUUAAGACAAAAAAUGUAACAUAAAAACUUCUAUUGUAUUUUGAAUCAUUCUGGUACUCCCUGAAAGAGCUGAGUUGGAAUGUGUUGUUAACCGUGAACUGUGUUCGGUGUGUGUAAACCUCACUGGCCAAUCCCUGCCCUAUCCCCUCCCUUGCUGUCCAAUCAAAUUCUGUACUGAGCUGUGUUGCUGACGUUAUUCAACACUUAGUUGUACUUCUCUCCAUUCAUUGAUCCAUCCAGCCUCUUAUACAGUUCUAUGGGUGUAUAUUGAUGAAUAUUGAAAUAUGUAUCAUCACAAAUCUGGGUUUACGAGAUGACGAAUCAUAUGACAACUUCCAUUUUCCAUUCAAUUCAUUUUUGUUUUUAUUUUGUCCGUUUUUUUUAUUGUGUGUUACAUGCAACAUUUGUUGACUAUGUUCAAAUUGACAUAUGCGUUUUUGAAUAUUUUAAAUGAUAGAUUAUACAUAUAUUUCUUUAGUCUUUAUUUUGAGAGRAAAUGUAUCAUAUAUUUUAAUUAUGUCUAUGAAUUGUAAGAUUGAAAAAAAUGCAAGAAGAUUAAAAAAAGAUCCUUUCCCUUGUACAGUAUCUCCCUAUCUGUAUUUGAAGGCAGUAUUGAAUGCAAACUCAGUCCCAGUGUUUACUGUUGCACUCCCUGUUGGUGUGAAGUGGUACUGCAUUUAAGCAUGUCAAGUGAAGUUGAUCUGGGUUGCAUCCAAAUACUUUUAAAAAUCAAAAUAUACUUGUCUCCUUUCCUUAACGGCCAACUAUCUGAAUUGAAUCGAUAGGUGAAAGGCAGUUGGUGGAAAUAAUGCAGUCCUUACACCUAUCAGUGGUCAUGGAGUGAAUGAGACAAGGAAAUGUUUGUAAACAUUACUGGGACACUUCCACCAGGUCAUGGUGAUGCAGUGAUCAGUACGCUUGUAUCGUCCCCUGAAGCAACACUCCAGGGGUGUUUACGAACUAAUUGGCGGUAAAGUAUUCAGAUAUACACUGGAUGUUCCAUGUGUUGUUUCUCUUCCAAAGUGACUAUAUUAAUGUGUUGAGAAAGAAAAAGAUACAUAAAACGUAUCAUAUACAAUAAUGUGGAUAACAAUGUUUGCUAUAUAUUUGGUUGAAGGCAGUGUUGUUUGGUUCUUGGAUGGCAUCACUCCUCUCCUCUCCCCCACUUGCAUGUGAGUCCCAUUGAGAUCGAAUAAAAUUCAAAUACACUGA